UGGGCUGUGGCUCAGUGGUCGAGCACCUGCCUAGCAUGCAUGAGGCACUGGGUUUGAUCCCAGCACCACAU
Molecule: transfer RNA, 71 nt
Filed under: Ictidomys tridecemlineatus (thirteen-lined ground squirrel)
Lineage: Eukaryota; Metazoa; Chordata; Mammalia; Rodentia; Sciuridae
Description: Spermophilus tridecemlineatus (thirteen-lined ground squirrel) tRNA
Rfam family: tRNA
About the family: Transfer RNA (tRNA) molecules are approximately 80 nucleotides in length. Their secondary structure includes four short double-helical elements and three loops (D, anti-codon, and T loops).
Source: Rfam by way of RNAcentral